This 73-nucleotide transfer RNA is filed under the name Stegodyphus mimosarum. It matches the Rfam family "tRNA". From Rfam's summary of the family: Transfer RNA (tRNA) molecules are approximately 80 nucleotides in length. Their secondary structure includes four short double-helical elements and three loops (D, anti-codon, and T loops). The record is from Rfam by way of RNAcentral. Lineage: Eukaryota; Metazoa; Arthropoda; Arachnida; Araneae; Eresidae.
GCCUUCGUGGUGUAAUGGUAAGCAAACUGAGCCGGUAUUUCAGAGGUCCGUGGUUCGAUUCCCGGCGAAGGCA